UUUAUUAUAGUUGAAAACAACGGUGGUAUUUCAAACCACAAGUCUCGGUUAAACCCGAGUAAUAACU
RNAcentral lists this transfer RNA (67 nucleotides) under Pseudemys concinna (Suwannee river cooter). RNAcentral describes it as "tRNA-Glu". It matches the Rfam family "tRNA". Rfam says of the family: Transfer RNA (tRNA) molecules are approximately 80 nucleotides in length. Their secondary structure includes four short double-helical elements and three loops (D, anti-codon, and T loops). Lineage: Eukaryota; Metazoa; Chordata; Testudines; Emydidae. The record is from RNAcentral. RNAcentral also lists the same sequence under 3 other names.